UACAGAGGUGGCAAGCGUUGUUCGGAAUUACUGGGCGUAAAGGGCGCGUAGGCGGCUCGACAAGUCCCGCGUGAAAGCCCCCGGCUCAACUGGGGAACUGCGCGGGAAACUGUCGGACUUGAGUUCGGGAGAGGGAAGCGGAAUUCCGGGUGUAGCGGUGAAAUGCGUAGAUAUCCGGAGGAACACCGGUGGCGAAGGCGGCUUCCUGGACCGACACUGACGCUGAGACGCGAAAGCGUGGGGAGCGAACAGG
Molecule: ribosomal RNA, 253 nt
Filed under: uncultured bacterium
Lineage: Bacteria
Description: partial 16S ribosomal RNA
Rfam family: Bacterial small subunit ribosomal RNA
Source: RNAcentral